GAGUUUGAUCAUGGCUCAGGGUGAACGCUGGCGGCGUGCUUAAGACAUGCAAGUCGAACGCAGCUUUCGGGCUGAGUGGCGCACGGGUGAGUAAUGCGUAACUGACCUACCCCGAAGUCUGGAAUAACUGGUCGAAAGAUCAGCUAAUACCGGAUAGCCACAUGACUCUUGAGUCAUGUGGAAAGAUUUAUUGCUUUGGGAUGGGGUUACGUUCCAUCAGCUGGUUGGUGAGGUAAAGGCUUACCAAGGCGACGACGGAUAGCCGGCCUGAGAGGGUGGCCGGCCACAGGGGCACUGAGACACGGGCCCCACUCCUACGGGACGCAGCAGA
RNAcentral lists this ribosomal RNA (331 nucleotides) under uncultured bacterium. RNAcentral describes it as "bacterial SSU rRNA". It matches the Rfam family "Bacterial small subunit ribosomal RNA", at positions 9 to 355 of the family's 1533-position model. The record is from RNAcentral.